RNAcentral lists this non-coding RNA (247 nucleotides) under Secundilactobacillus oryzae. Its description in RNAcentral is "Lactobacillus oryzae T-box sequence". It matches the Rfam family "T-box leader". Rfam says of the family: Uncharged tRNA acts as the effector for transcription antitermination of genes in the T-box leader family. T-boxes are found upstream of many aminoacyl-tRNA synthetase genes and some amino acid biosynthetic genes usually in Gram-positive bacteria. The record is from RNAcentral. Lineage: Bacteria; Bacillati; Bacillota; Bacilli; Lactobacillales; Lactobacillaceae.
AAAUUCGAUUUGAAAAGAUGAGUAGACGUUACCCAAUUCCAAAGAGAGCUCCUGAUGGUGAAACGGAGUGUUGAGGGGACAUCGAAUAUGGUCUUUGCUGAAUAAAGCGUCGGCGAGCUUCGAGAAAGUAAGCUGACGAUGGUGGUGCCCAUUAACGCACAUGAGUUUAUGACUCAAUGAGUUAACAAUCGCGAGAUUGUUAAGAAUUUAGGUGGUAACACGAAAAGAAGCCCUUUUCGUCCUAUUA